Molecule: ribosomal RNA, 876 nt
Filed under: uncultured archaeon
Lineage: Archaea
Description: bacterial SSU rRNA
Rfam family: Archaeal small subunit ribosomal RNA
Source: RNAcentral
GGCGACCGCUAUUGGAGUUCGAUUAAGCCAUGCGAGUAGAAAGAAAUUAGAUUCUUUGCAUACUGCUCAGUAACACGUGGAUAACCUGCCCUACACAGGGGGAUAAUCUCGGGAAACUGAGGAUAAUACCCCAUAGACCACUACGCCUGGAACGGUGAGUGGUUGAAAGCUCAGGCGGUGUAGGAUGGGUCUACGGCGUAUCAGGUCGUAGGGGGUGUAAUGGACCUCCUAGCCAUCGACGCGUACGGGUUGUGGGAGCAAUAGCCCGGAGACGGAUUCUGAGACACGAAUCCGGACCCUACGGGGUGCAGCAGGCGCGAAAACUUCACACUGCAGGAAACUGUGAUGAGGGAACUCCAAGUGACUGCCCAAUGGGUAGCCUUUUCUUGAAUCUUAAUAGUUCUUGGAAUAAGGGCUGGGAAAGACCGGUGCCAGCCGCCGCGGUAAUACCGGCAGCUCAAGUGGUCGUCGCUUUUAUUGGGCCUAAAACGUCCGUAGCCUGUUUGGUAAAUCUGUGGGUAAAUCAACGAGCUUAACUCGUUGAAUUCUGCAGAGACUGCCAGACUAGGGACCGGGAGAGGUAUGAGGUACUCUGGGGGUAGGGGUAAAAUCCUGUCAUCCUCAGAGGACCACCUGUUGCGAAGGCGUCAUACUGGAACGGAUCCGACGGUCAGGGACGAAGCCUAGGGGCACGAACCGGACUAGAUACCCGGGUAGUCCUAGGUGUAAACGCUGUGGAUUUGGUGUGUGGGGUCCGCAAUGGGCCCCAUGUGCCGGAGUGAAGAUGUUAAAUCCACUGCCUGGGGAGUACGGUCGCAAGGCUGAAACUUAAAGGAAUUGGCGGGGGAGCACUGCAACGGGAGGAGCGUGCGGUUU